UAUAGCUUAUCCUCCAAACACACAGACAAAGCAACAGGAAUACAGUUGUGGGGCAUACAUGGUUACUUUCCUCUGAUAUACAUAAAACUUCCUCCAAAUCAGCACAGCUUCGAUCGAGGCUUUCGCCGCACUUUAGGUCAAUUACCUUCACAGCUGAUGUGUUACGGCUCCUGCCAUUUAACCUGUAAUUACGAUCCUCUUGUCUGUGCAGGACAAUGCUCCAUGCCAAACAGCCAGGUCAAUCAAGUUGUGAAUAGAGGACCAACUGAUCAAGACCCUGUCAUGGCCAGCCCAUUCUCCAGACCAGAACCCCAUUGAAAACCUCUAGAAUGUGAUCAAGAGGAAGAUUUUACUCAAACACAUACCUAUAAAUAGUAAAACCAAAGAAAGUGGUCUCUUAA
This is a long non-coding RNA of Bombina bombina (fire-bellied toad), 401 nucleotides long. RefSeq lists it as uncharacterized. The transcript is spliced from 2 exons. Lineage: Eukaryota; Metazoa; Chordata; Amphibia; Anura; Bombinatoridae. The record is from RefSeq and is a predicted model, not a curated record.